GAUGGUGCAACCUCCUUUGCAACUUCAGUUCCCAUUGCUCGUUUCUCGUCUUGCCGCUGGGGAGCACUCCCAGUGCCUGUUGGAGCAGGAAGAUAUGGGGUAUCUUUUCUUAAUUGCAAAAACCAGUCAAGCCAAGAGCCUGGAGUCAGACCUUGUGGGGUCCCUUCCCACGCCAGUAGGGGGACUAAGGAACUGCCGCUCUGGAUCACGCUCGCAGUCCAGCACCUUCUGUGGAAGAACAGCCAGAAGCCAUGGCCAGGGAGGAACGAAACCUGAAGCUGACAUUAAGGAAAAGAUGUCGCAAGGAAAGGUUUCCCCAAGAGUGAGGUGAUAGGAUCUGCCCUGCGGCCUCAAAAUUUAGAUCCUUGCCAUUGCUCUUUCUGUUUCAUUUUGUUUAAUGCUAGAAUGUAAGUGGUUAUUACUGGUUUUAAAACCAAUAUUUAAUCCUCAUAUUUGAAAACCUCUUAGAAUAAUACUGCAUUCCCACUAAUUACUGCACCAAAUAAAAUCUAUUCCAAAGUAUAGAAACUAUCAAGCAUAUGUAUUGUUAUUUCUUCAGUGUCAGGAAUUCCCUGGGUUUCCAUCUCAAAGUUGCAUUGUUCUAGCUGAAGAAGUUAUUUCAGGAUUAGUUGUAAGACAUAUCUGAGAUAAUCGCUGAUUGAGACAUAACACAGCCCUGUUUCUACAGACAUUCCUGCUGACCUUACAUGUCAUGCUUUCUUUUUAUUA
Molecule: non-coding RNA, 729 nt
Organism: Phalacrocorax carbo (great cormorant)
Lineage: Eukaryota; Metazoa; Chordata; Aves; Suliformes; Phalacrocoracidae
Source: RefSeq, a predicted model, not a curated record